GCUCAGGAUGAACGCUAGCUACAGGCUUAACACAUGCAAGUCGAGGGGUAGCAGGGUAGCAAUACCGCUGACGACCGGCGCACGGGUGAGUAACACGUAUCCAACCUUCCCAUAACUCGGGGAUAGCCUUUCGAAAGAAAGAUUAAUACCCGAUAGUACUUAUAUAAGGCAUCUUAAAUAAGUUAAAGAUUUAUUGGUUAUGGAUGGGGAUGCGUUCCAUUAGAUAGUUGGUGAGGUAACGGCUCACCAAGUCUUCGAUGGAUAGGGGUUCUGAGAGGAAGGUCCCCCACAUUGGUACUGAGACACGGACCAAACUCCUACGGGAGGCAGCAGUGAGGAAUAUUGGUCAAUGGGCGAGAGCCUGAACCA
RNAcentral lists this ribosomal RNA (369 nucleotides) under uncultured Bacteroidales bacterium. Its description in RNAcentral is "bacterial SSU rRNA". It matches the Rfam family "Bacterial small subunit ribosomal RNA", at positions 22 to 390 of the family's 1533-position model. The record is from RNAcentral. Lineage: Bacteria; Pseudomonadati; Bacteroidota; Bacteroidia; Bacteroidales.